GAGUGAACGCUGGCGGCGUGCCUAACACAUGCAAGUCGAACGAUGAUAGAAGAGCUUGCUUUUCUUGAUUAGUGGCGCACGGGUGAGUAAUGCAUAGAUAAUGUGCCCCUUAGUUCGGGAUAGCCACUGGAAACGGUGAUUAAUACCGGAUACUCCUUCUUACUAUAAGGUAAGUCGGGAAAGUUUUUCGCUAAGGGGUCAGUCUAUGUCCUAUCAGCUAGUUGGUGAGGUAAUGGCUCACCAAGGCUAUGACAGGUAUCUGGUUUGAGAGGAUGAUCAGACACACUGGAACUGAGACACGGUCCAGACUCCUACGGGAGGCAGCAGUGAGGAAUAUUGCACAAUGGAGGAAACUCUGAUGCAGCAACGCCGCGUGGAGGAUGACGCAUUUCGGUGUGUAAACUCCUUUUAUUAGGGAAGAUAAUGACGGUACCUAAUGAAUAAGCACCGGCUAACUCCGUGCCAGCAGCCGCGGUAAUACGGAGGGUGCAAGCGUUACUCGGAAUCACUGGGCGUAAAGGGUGCGUAGGCUGGCUUUUAAGUCAGAUGUGAAAUCCAAUGGCUUAACCAUUGAACUGCAUUUGAAACUGAGAGCCUAGAGUUCAGAAGGGGCAGAUGGAAUUAGUGGUGUAGGGGUAAAAUCCGUAGAUAUCACUAGGAAUAUCAAAAGCGAAGGCGAUCUGCUGGGAUGAUACUGACGCUGAGGCACGAAAGCGUGGGGAGCAAACAGGAUUAGAUACCCUGGUAGUCCACGCCCUAAACGAUGAAUGCUAGUCGUCGGGAAGCUCGUCUUUUCGGUGACGCACUUAACAGAUUAAGCAUUCCGCCUGGGGAGUACGGUCGCAAGAUUAAAACUCAAAGGAAUAGACGGGGACCCGCACAAGUGGUGGAGCAUGUGGUUUAAUUCGAAGAUACACGAAGAACCUUACCUGGCCUUGACAUCCCAAGAACUUUCCAGAGAUGGAUUGGUGCUAGCUUGCUAGAACUUGGUGACAGGUGCUGCACGGCUGUCGUCAGCUCGUGUCGUGAGAUGUUGGGUUAAGUCCCGCAACGAGCGCAACCCUCGUCCUUAGUUGCUAACAGUUCGGCUGAGCACUCUAAGGAGACUGCCUCCGUAAGGAGGAGGAAGGUGAGGACGACGUCAAGUCAUCAUGGCCCUUACGGCCAGGGCUACACACGUGCUACAAUGGGGCGUACAGAGAGCUGCAAUACCGCGAGGUGGAGCCAAUCUCUUAAAGCGUCUCUCAGUUCGGAUUGUUCUCUGCAACUCGAGAACAUGAAGCUGGAAUCACUAGUAAUCGCAGAUCAGCUAUGCUGCGGUGAAUACGUUCCCGGGUC
RNAcentral lists this ribosomal RNA (1338 nucleotides) under uncultured soil bacterium. RNAcentral describes it as "16S ribosomal RNA". It matches the Rfam family "Bacterial small subunit ribosomal RNA", at positions 27 to 1380 of the family's 1533-position model. The record is from RNAcentral.